AGAGUUUGAUCAUGGCUCAGAUUGAACGCUGGCGGCAUGCCUUACACAUGCAAGUCGAACGGCAGCACGGGGGCAACCCUGGUGGCGAGUGGCGAACGGGUGAGUAAUACAUCGGAACGUGUCCUGUAGUGGGGGAUAGCCCGGCGAAAGCCGGAUUAAUACCGCAUACGAUCUACGGAAGAAAGCGGGGGAUCUUCGGACCUCGCGCUAUAGGGGCGGCCGAUGGCAGAUUAGCUAGUUGGUGGGGUAAAGGCCUACCAAGGCGACGAUCUGUAGCUGGUCUGAGAGGACGACCAGCCACACUGGGACUGAGACACGGCCCAGACUCCUACGGGAGGCAGCAGUGGGGAAUUUUGGACAAUGGGGGAAACCCUGAUCCAGCAAUGCCGCGUGUGUGAAGAAGGCCUUCGGGUUGUAAAGCACUUUUGUCCGGAAAGAAAACUUCGGGGCUAAUACCUCUGGAGGAUGACGGUACCGGAAGAAUAAGCACCGGCUAACUACGUGCCAGCAGCCGCGGUAAUACGUAGGGUGCGAGCGUUAAUCGGAAUUACUGGGCGUAAAGCGUGCGCAGGCGGUCUGUUAAGACAGAUGUGAAAUCCCCGGGCUUAACCUGGGAACUGCAUUUGUGACUGGCAGGCUAGAGUAUGGCAGAGGGGGGUAGAAUUCCACGUAGCAGUGAAAUGCGUAGAGAUGUGGAGGAAUACCGAUGGCGAAGGCAGCCCCCUGGGCCAAUACUGACGCUCAUGCACGAAAGCGUGGGGAGCAAACAGGAUUAGAUACCCUAGUAGUCC
This 791-nucleotide ribosomal RNA is filed under the name uncultured bacterium. RNAcentral's name for it is "bacterial SSU rRNA". It matches the Rfam family "Bacterial small subunit ribosomal RNA", at positions 8 to 796 of the family's 1533-position model. The record is from RNAcentral.